RNAcentral lists this small RNA (1730 nucleotides) under Rattus norvegicus (Norway rat). RNAcentral describes it as "uncharacterized LOC102547396". Lineage: Eukaryota; Metazoa; Chordata; Mammalia; Rodentia; Muridae. The record is from RNAcentral.
CCCCAUCUGUUGGCACAAGAAGAUGACUCUCUGAAAUGUGAAAUUUUUGCUCUAUUUUUGGCAUUUUAAUGUGAAGGUUAAUGCUGUGUUUACUAACAAUGUACUUAGUAGCAUGUAGGGGCUAGACCUAGGCUCACACAUUUGUAGUAGGUACGCAGCUUGAUCUUCAUGUGGGUCCCCUGACAACUGGACCAGGGAGAGGGGGUUGUCUCUGACUCUGUUGCCUGACAUUGAAUCCCCUUCCCUUAACUGGACUGCCUGGUUUGGCCUCAGUGUGAGCGGGUGCUCUUAGUCUUGCAGAACCUGGAUGUCUCUUGGUAGACUCGUACCCAAGGUGGCUUUCCCUUCUCGGAGAAGGAAAGUGGGUAAUGGGGGGGGUUGUAAAAAUGAGACUGGGAGGGGGUCUGUGAUCCGGAUGUAAAGUAAAUAAAAAAUUAAUUAGUGAUGAAAAAUGACUUUACAAUUAUAUAAAAGCCCUAUUGGCCAGAAAAGGAAAAUAUACUUAGCGAUAUGCACAACCAAAGACAGCAAUUCCCACAUUCUAGACACUGACUAUGUGCUUUCAAUUAUUUUUCAUAAAUAAAAUAAAAAGACAAGGGUAGCUGGUAUUAUUGCCCUGCCAGAUCACACAGGUCAAGUUGCUGUGAUGAAGUUGGGAUCCAAAUGUCAUAUUCUGUAAAGCCAAUGCUACUAGGCUACUAACUGUCUUUUCUAACCAGAGUUCCACAGAUCACCCCGUUCCAGCUGCCUCCCUCCUCCACUCAAUGUCCACGUGGACGUUUCAGACAAGCAGGGUUUGUGACAUCAAACCUUUGUCAAAGUCCACCCUGCCCUGAUGCACACGUGUCUUAGAGACAUAGCCCAGGAAGCUUGUGCAUACAUUCCCCUGAAAACGAUACCAUUCAACUGUGAGGCUAUCUACCCAUAGUCAACAUACCAAAAGAUCUCAGGGUUGUGCUUUGGAGUGUCCCGAGUCAAUGGAUACUCGGGGUGAAGAAGAACAUGAGAAAUGGCCACCGAGACUUGCGGCAGAUACGAAACAUUCUGUGAGUCUGGAAGACUUAAUAUCCCCCAGAGUAAAAUAGUUUUAUAUUGAUUCAUGGAAAUGAUAAGAUUUGCACAUAUUGAAUUUACAAUCUAGUAUUUAAAUUAAUAUCAACCGUUUCCUUCUUUCUUUUAAAGUGACAGGAUUUCUCGCCAGUCACGUGAUGCUGUUUCUGCAGGAAAUGCCCUCGCGGAAUAAAUUUUACUUGCAUUUUGCCUUUAUUCUUAUUAAUAUACGGAAAAGAAAGAAGCACCCUAUGAAGAUAGCUUUUUGGGUUUUAACAGCACAUCAAAUUGAGGAUUUCAUCUCACCCUACAGAGAGGCAGUCGGUUCCCUGCUGAGAGCCCCAAGACCCUGGCCAGACCUCUGCCAGCUACAAGCUCCAUCCACUCUUCUGUCCAAGCCCGUGUUCUGCAGGACAGUUUCACUGGGUCUGUGGUUUUGUUUGUUUUUGUUGUUUUGGGUUGUUUUUUGUUUUUUUUUUUUGCAUAAGUCUCUAUGAGCUCGCAUCCCCAGACUCUCAGUUUUUUGCCCCACCGUAGAAAGAAGGUCUUGCUUCCUUUUCUUUCCCCCACAACACGCUAAGAUUCCCUCCUCCCGUAGAAAAAUAGAUGAACUCCGAACCGAACUCUAACUACAACAGAAUGAGAGAAUGGCUUCUCCCGCCUGUUGGUAUUGGGUAGAA